This 218-nucleotide unclassified non-coding RNA is filed under the name Tomentella galzinii. Its description in RNAcentral is "partial internal transcribed spacer 2". Lineage: Eukaryota; Fungi; Basidiomycota; Agaricomycetes; Thelephorales; Thelephoraceae. The record is from RNAcentral.
ACACCUCAACUCUCAUGGUCCGCCAUGAUGAGCUUGGACUUUGGGGGUCUUGCCGGCCUAGCGUCGGCUCCUCUCAAAUGGAUCAGCUUCCCAGUGUUUGGUGGCGUCACAGGUGUGAUAACUAUCUACGCUUGUGGUUUUCUGCCAUUAACCUUCAGCAAUGGAGGUUCGCUGGAGCUCACAGAUGUCCUUUCCUUGGGGAGGACAGCUUCUUGAAU